AGACGUCUACAUUAGAUACCCGUGUAGUCCCAGCCGUAAACUAUGCGCGUUAGGUGUAUCGGUGACCACGAGUCACCGAGGUGCCGAAGGGAAACCGUGAAACGUGCCGCCUGGGAAGUACGGUCGCAAGGCUGAAACUUAAAGGAAUUGGCGGGGAGCACCACAACGGGUGGAGCCUGCGGUUUAAUUGGACUCAACGCCGGGAAGCUCACCGGAUAAGACAGCAGAAUGAUUGCCGGGCUGAAGACCCUGCAUGACUAGCUG
Molecule: ribosomal RNA, 264 nt
Filed under: uncultured archaeon
Lineage: Archaea
Description: partial 16S ribosomal RNA
Rfam family: Archaeal small subunit ribosomal RNA
Source: RNAcentral